UGCGUAGGUGGUAUGGCAAGUCAGAAGUGAAAACCCAGGGCUUAACUCUGGGACUGCUUUUGAAACUGUCAGACUGGAGUGCAGGAGAGGUAAGCGGAAUUCCUAGUGUAGCGGUGAAAUGCGUAGAUAUUAGGAGGAACAUCAGUGGCGAAGGCGGCUUACUGGACUGAAACUGACACUGAGGCACGAAAGCGUGGGAGGCAAACA
This 207-nucleotide ribosomal RNA is filed under the name uncultured bacterium. Its description in RNAcentral is "partial 16S ribosomal RNA". It matches the Rfam family "Bacterial small subunit ribosomal RNA", at positions 568 to 774 of the family's 1533-position model. The record is from RNAcentral.